GACGAACGCUGGCGGCGUGCUUAACACAUGCAAGUCGAACGGAAAGGCCCUGCUUUUGUGGGGUGCUCGAGUGGCGAACGGGUGAGUAACACGUGAGUAACCUGCCCUUGACUUUGGGAUAACUUCAGGAAACAGGGGCUAAUACCGGAUAGGAGCUCCUGCUGCAUGGUGGGGGUUGGAAAGUUUCGGCGGUUGGGGAUGGACUCGCGGCUUAUCAGCUUGUUGGUGGGGUAGUGGCUUACCAAGGCUUUGACGGGUAGCCGGCCUGAGAGGGUGACCGGCCACAUGGGGACUGAGAUACGGCCCAGACUCCUACGGGAGGCAGCAGUGGGGAAUAUUGCACAAUGGGCGGAAGCCUGAUGCAGCAACGCCGCGUGCGGGAUGACGGCCUUCGGGUUGUAAACCGCUUUCGCCUGUGACGAAGCGUGAGUGACGGUAAUGGGUAAAGAAGCACCGGCUAACUACGU
This 467-nucleotide ribosomal RNA is filed under the name uncultured bacterium. RNAcentral describes it as "partial 16S ribosomal RNA". It matches the Rfam family "Bacterial small subunit ribosomal RNA", at positions 28 to 506 of the family's 1533-position model. The record is from RNAcentral.